UACAGAGGUCCCAAGCGUUGUUCGGAUUCACUGGGCGUAAAGGGUGCGUAGGUGGUGAGGUAAGUCGGAUGUGAAAUCUCCGAGCUCAACUCGGAAAUGGCAUUGGAAACUACCUUGCUUGAGGGUUGGAGGGGGACUGGAAUACUUGGUGUAGCAGUGAAAUGCGUAGAUAUCAAGUGGAACACCAGUGGCGAAGGCGAGUCCCUGGACAACUCCUGACACUGAGGCACGAAAGCUAGGGGAGCAAACAGG
This 252-nucleotide ribosomal RNA is filed under the name uncultured bacterium. RNAcentral describes it as "partial 16S ribosomal RNA". It matches the Rfam family "Bacterial small subunit ribosomal RNA", at positions 524 to 776 of the family's 1533-position model. The record is from RNAcentral.